UGCAUCGGCCGGGAAUCGAACUCGGGCCGCCCGCGUGGCAGGCGAGCAUUUUAUUACUGAACCACCGAUGG
RNAcentral lists this transfer RNA (71 nucleotides) under Cordylochernes scorpioides. RNAcentral's name for it is "tRNA-Gly". The record is from RNAcentral. Lineage: Eukaryota; Metazoa; Arthropoda; Arachnida; Pseudoscorpiones; Chernetidae.